This is a non-coding RNA of Vicia faba (fava bean), 294 nucleotides long. The record is from the annotation of a GenBank genome assembly. Lineage: Eukaryota; Viridiplantae; Streptophyta; Magnoliopsida; Fabales; Fabaceae.
AUGGAGUUGAAGGGAAGAAGCUGGUCGGCAUUGGGUGGAUUCAAGGCCAACAAUUUGCUUCUAAAAUCACAACAGACGAAAAUAUCCUGCACAUGCAAACGUAGAUGGGCGCGGUCAUGGUUCGGUUCUGUGUGGAGUUUUGACAAAGGGUCGAGUGAGUGUCACUGGAGGAAAUUUCUCAAUCCACCUUCCAUAAUGUCUGAAUCUGCAAAAAUACACUACAGGGAGAAUGCUUCUGAUAAACCUCUACAACAGGCCCAACAAAUACAAAGAGACGAAGAAGCUCGAAAUUAA